This 444-nucleotide ribosomal RNA is filed under the name Ypthima iris. Its description in RNAcentral is "partial 28S ribosomal RNA". Lineage: Eukaryota; Metazoa; Arthropoda; Insecta; Lepidoptera; Nymphalidae. The record is from RNAcentral.
AAGCGACUCGAAUGACGACGGAGAGAUUCAUCGACAUCCAUCCGAGAGGCGUGCGGGCGCGCGCUUCGAUGUCGCGCGGGCGCUCCUCGCGGGCGUCUCGUGCGGCACGACGCGCACCCGUCCACGUCCCGUGGCGUCGUGCACUUCUCUCUUAGUAAUGCAUCGCGACCCGUUCCCUUGUGUGGCACGCGUUCGCGCGUGUGCUGUCGGCUUAAGCGCCGUCCGUGUCGCCCAGCGGUCCUAGCGGCCGCUGGACCGCGACGGUGGCCGGCCGACGGGGGACGGUAGUGGUAUGAAACGCGCACGCGCAUCGCGCGCGUCCGGCCCGACGCAAGCUCUCGUGCGCCGGUUGGCGGUUCUGCCCGAGUGCGGAUCGUCACCCGGCGCCGCUGUCGUCGCCGCCGUGCAGUCUCGGACCGUGCGCGUAUCAGUCUGCGAUGAGUC